RNAcentral lists this ribosomal RNA (253 nucleotides) under uncultured bacterium. Its description in RNAcentral is "partial 16S ribosomal RNA". It matches the Rfam family "Bacterial small subunit ribosomal RNA", at positions 524 to 776 of the family's 1533-position model. The record is from RNAcentral.
UACAGAGGUCCCAAGCGUUGUUCGGAUUCACUGGGCGUAAAGGGUGCGUAGGCGGUCGGGUAAGUCUGAUGUGAAAUCUCACAGCUUAACUGUGAAACUGCAUUGGAUACUAUUCGGCUUGAGAGUUGGAGGGGGGACUGGAAUUCUUGGUGUAGCAGUGAAAUGCGUAGAUAUCAAGUGGAACACCAGUGGCGAAGGCGAGUCUCUGGACAUUUCCUGACGCUGAGGCACGAAAGCCAGGGGAGCAAACGGG